GACGAUGACGAAUCAAUCUCAUUCCAACGCUUGAUCAGAUCAAUUAUGAUCGAUACAAAGAGACGCUGCGUUCUUUCUGAGUC
RNAcentral lists this small nucleolar RNA (83 nucleotides) under Chlamydomonas reinhardtii. RNAcentral's name for it is "CrCD34 snoRNA". The record is from RNAcentral. Lineage: Eukaryota; Viridiplantae; Chlorophyta; Chlorophyceae; Chlamydomonadales; Chlamydomonadaceae.